CAGCCAUUUCUGGAUUCAAAUCCUGGCUCUGCUAUUUUCCUAGCUGUGUGACUUUGUACAAGUUACUUAACCCCUCUGAGUCUAUUCCUAUUGUUUCCCUGCUUGGUCCUCACGUUUCCUCUCAGGCCUGGCACUUGGAAGGUGUUUUAUAAAUGGCUCUGCCACUCCCUACCCCUCUGCUGCAGGACAGCAUGUCUUUUAUUCUCCUGGGACAUCCUGGGACCUGCCUUGCCAAGCUUCAUUUCCCCCCCCCCCAGUUCAGCUCUCCAGUUCACUUACUUCUUACUUCUCUCUUUCUAGUGUUUGGCAUGGAUUUGAAGGUGUUUGGGAAAGGGAGGAAAGAAGAAAAAUGUUUGAAGAAGGAAGGACGGGACCCUCGAUUUGGAAAUUAAAGUAUUCUAGGCCUGGACGCUGUGAGGAGACCAGCAUGAGCCAAGAGGACCACAGCAGCAAAUACCAAUACCCACCCACCCACCAAAAACCAAUAUCUCAUCCCUCCACUGGGCCCACAACAGUCUCCCACCUGCAGAGCUGUCAAAUUCCUGCCAGAUCAAGGUGUCCAAACCAAGCUGAAGAAUGACAUUUCAAGUAUUUUCUGAAGGAAGGGAAGGGAAGGAGGAAGGAAGGGCUGUGCAGUAAGUGACUGUUCUCACAGCUGUGAUCACGAGCCAUUGUCAUUCAAGUGCCCACCUUGUCUUGCUGUGUACUCAUUGUCUUCUAUCAAUCGGGCCAAUCCGAAGUCAGCAAUCUUGCAUAUGAGUCCAUUCCCCACUAGAAUGUUUGCUGAUCGCAGAUCUCUAUGGAUAUAAUUCAUGCGCUCGAUGUAAGCCAUUCCUGCAGCCACCUGUGGAAACCCAGGGAACAGGACAUGUUACACCACGACCCAAUGUACUUAGACACGUCAUUAAAUCUAUGGCACAUCAAGUUACCCUGCAGGGCCUACCUGUGCUGCCAUGUCCACAAGAUUUGGUAAUUUCAGAGCUCUUCCUUCUCCAUCUUUUAAGAAAUCCAGUAAACUUCCUAUGAACAAAACAUAAAAUCAUUUCAAUUUACUUUGAAAGAUAAUUCCCAACAGAGAGCUGUAUUUGGUUUUCUUAUUAAAAGUAAUAAGGUAGUCAAAUGGAAUAAUGCCAUCCACAUGGGGGGACAAAAAGGUUUAUAUAAAAAAGCAGGGUAGAAAAAAGUAUAGGCAUGGAGAAGUAACAGUUACCUUUUAAAAACAAACAGCAUUAAUUCCAUUUCUAGGAAUAACAACAUAUAUUUGAUAAAACUAGAAGAAAUGGGACUCAAUCUCCCUGUAUGUCAUAAAGAGGAACCUAUGAAGAACUGCACCUCUUCAAUCCCAUUCCCCAAUCACCCCUGCACAAAGAAUUGAUGUGGGGAAAAUACAGCCCAGCUGAGUGGUCCAAAACUGUGGUCCUGGGACCAGCAGCUACAAUAACACAAGGGAACUUGUUAGAUAUGCAAAUUCUCAGGUCCCAUCCCAGAUCGAGUAAAUCAGAAACUUUGAAGGUUGGGUCCAGAAACUUGGGUUUUAAGAAGGCCUACAGGUGAUUCUAAUAAUACAAGGUAAAGUUUGAGACUCACUAGCUUAGCUUAUUUACAGAUUUUGAAUCAAGAAAAGACAAUCUGAAGAAUAUGGGUGGGGCAGAUGGUUCCCCUUAAUUAGAUCACAGCCAGCCAAGCCUUAAAUCAGACAUCUGAAAUGAAACAUUGGAAGCUUCAGAGCCACUAUUAUAACACAGCCUAAGAAGGCUUAGAACUAACACCAAAGCAGGGAUAAUCAUUUGCAGAAGCUGGAGGCUUAUGAUGGUCAUCAGUGAUAUUUUAUGCUUUAAUCACAAAGUUAUUUACAAAAUAACCCUGGAUACAAAGGACAAACCGUUUGCCAGAAAAAAAAAUUCCCAUUAAAUUUUAAAAGAAAGUACAUGGAAAAGAAAAAUUACACUGGUAUCCUCUGAUAAACAAUGUAUUGCCUUUUAAGGCUGUUUCUUGUUUGGUUCAUCUAUUUUUCCAAAACAAAAUGAUCUCUGGCCUUAUCCCUAACAAUGCUGGUUUGAUUAGGAAGACAGAGGGGUUGUAGGGGAGAGAAUGUGAGAAUAAAUGUGGUCUCUGAAAGCAUGUAAUUUCAUCGCCUGACGUUUAAGAAGAGAGCUGGAAAUAAAAAAGAUGUUGAAAUGAUGGAGACUAAACUUAGCUUAGAGACCAGUGUCUGAUAUUAAUUGUUUAGCCCUGCAAAAAGGAAAUGUAACAAAAGCUACUACAUUCAAAAUAACAGCAAACUAUCAUAACCCUCCGUACCACCCUGAUAUUAAAAAUGAAUGUUUUAAUUAUGGAGAGGAGCUUGAAUUUCUGACACACAUAACAUGUAAAAAGUAUUUGGCAUUUCAUAAGGAUUUGGGGUGGGGUAAACGCAAGGUUAGUCUGUUUUAAAAAAUGUUUUCAUUAACGAGCACAUAACUGGUGGUUCCUAAUGGGAAUACUUGACCCAGGCAGAAACUAGAAAAGUAGCAAGUAGGAAACUUCCAUUUCUCUCCCCUAAACAACCCCUUAAGGCACUGUGAGCUGGAGACAGGAGAGGUGUUGCCCAACCUUUGUUCAUAUACUCGGUGACGAUGUAGAUGGGCUCCUCAGACACCACUGCAUAGAGCUGGACCAGC
Molecule: long non-coding RNA, 2660 nt
Filed under: Homo sapiens (human)
Lineage: Eukaryota; Metazoa; Chordata; Mammalia; Primates; Hominidae
Description: HSALNT0111611
Source: RNAcentral